AAUGGCCUAACGGCUGAACCAGCAACUUGGAAGAAUGUAUAGCAAUAGCUAGUUGCAUCAAUAUAUUAUUGAUACAAUAUCGACUAAGUCGAAUAAAAUUCUAGGUAGAGAUAUGAUAAUGACAUUACUUACCUAUAUGUCUUGACCAAAAUACGUGCCAGCAGUCGCGGUAAUACGUAAAAGGCUAGUGUUAUUCAUCUUUAAAAGGUUUAAAGGGUACCUAGACGGUAAGUAAAGCCUUAAACGGGACUGAUUUACUAGAGUUACUUGUGAGGGAGUUCGAAUGUACUAGAGGUGAAGAGAUAAAAUUCUAUGAUGCCUUUUUUCAAAUAGAAAAGGUUUGGCACAGGUAUAGGUGAAAACAUCUCCUUAUGGGAUAACUGACGUUGAGGGACGAAGGCUUUAUAUCACAAACAGGAUUAGAUACCCUGGUAGCUUAAGCAGAUAAUGAUGAGUGUCAUAGAUUAGAUAAAAAUUUAUUCUAUAAAUGAAAGUGUAAGCACUCCACCUCAAGAGUAACUUGGCAACAUUGGAACUGAAAUCAUUAGACCGUUCCUGAGACCAGUAGUGAAGUAUGUUGUUUAAUUUGAUAAUCCGCAAAAAACCUUACCACAAUUUGAAUAUUUAUGUUUAUAACAUAGAUACAAGUGUUGCACGGCUGUCUUCAGUUAAUGUCGUGAGACUAUGGUUGGCUCCAUUAAAUUAACGUAAACCCUUACUUUAUUUUUAAAUAAAGUAGCUCUCCACUAUAUUGGAUAUGAUAAUAGGGAUUAAGACAAGUCAUCAUGGCCUUAAUGUUGUGGGCUACAGACGUGCUGCGUGAGCCUUUACAAAGGGAUGUGAAAUUGUAAAAUUGAGCUAAUCCUGUAAAAUUGGCUAUAAUGAU
Molecule: ribosomal RNA, 886 nt
Filed under: Micarea misella
Lineage: Eukaryota; Fungi; Ascomycota; Lecanoromycetes; Lecanorales; Micareaceae
Description: SSU rRNA
Rfam family: Bacterial small subunit ribosomal RNA
Source: RNAcentral